GCCACUACGCUUUUACUAGCAUGUGUGGACCUGGACGAGUUCACACUAACCCUAGGAUUUUCACUCUUCGCUUACCUUGUCUGGCAGUUUUUCAAGCUAAUUUUCUGCUGGAUGCGAAGGGCCAUAUUUUGAGCGCAGCGAAAGAAAUUGGCUUGCUAGAAAAUUACCAUUUGGCGUGGUAUUCUCGAGUGUGCAGUUCAAAAUACCUGUGCUAGUAUUGCAGUGAGGCAAGUCAGACUGCCAAAUUCAGCAGCAUGAUAUCGUCAUUGCAAGCUGUCUUUGGAGGGUCUGUCCUGUAUCAACUCGCUUUUGCAGUCUGUGCAUUGAUGUUUUUCAUCUGUCACCUAGAGCAAACAUGGUGUGUGGUAUAUACUUCUUUCCUAAGAUAUGGAAUUAAGGAUGAUAACACACCAGACAUUU
This 420-nucleotide non-coding RNA is filed under the name Ophionereis fasciata. The record is from RNAcentral. Lineage: Eukaryota; Metazoa; Echinodermata; Ophiuroidea; Amphilepidida; Ophionereidae.